RNAcentral lists this ribosomal RNA (411 nucleotides) under uncultured bacterium. RNAcentral's name for it is "bacterial SSU rRNA". It matches the Rfam family "Bacterial small subunit ribosomal RNA", at positions 770 to 1186 of the family's 1533-position model. The record is from RNAcentral.
UAACAGGAUUAGAUACCCUGGUAGUCCACGCCCUAAACGAUGUCUACUAGUUGUCGGGUCUUAAUUGACUUGGUAACGCAGCUAACGCGUGAAGUAGACCGCCUGGGGAGUACGGUCGCAAGAUUAAAACUCAAAGGAAUUGACGGGGACCCGCACAAGCGGUGGAUGAUGUGGAUUAAUUCGAUGCAACGCGAAAAACCUUACCUACCCUUGACAUGGAUGGAAUCCCGAAGAGAUUUGGGAGUGCUCGAAAGAGAACCAUCACACAGGUGCUGCAUGGCUGUCGUCAGCUCGUGUCGUGAGAUGUUGGGUUAAGUCCCGCAACGAGCGCAACCCUUGUCAUUAGUUGCUACGAAAGGGCACUCUAAUGAGACUGCCGGUGACAAACCGGAGGAAGGUGGGGAUGACGUA